RNAcentral lists this long non-coding RNA (325 nucleotides) under Elaeis guineensis (African oil palm). RNAcentral's name for it is "long non-coding RNA (EGUI_LNC023839)". The record is from RNAcentral. Lineage: Eukaryota; Viridiplantae; Streptophyta; Magnoliopsida; Arecales; Arecaceae.
GGGAUUGGAGUCAAGUCCUUCGUGUGUACAACCCCCUGAUCACGCACUUGGGUUGCUUUGAGAUGUCUGAUCUUGCAUGAUUGUGAAUGAUCAAGCACAACCAUAUAUCUUAAAGCAUAAUCAAAUGAUCUCACAUGUGAAGGUCUAUCUUGUUUUUUCAGUCCAUGAAAAUUAGUUAUGGGAUCAAACAAAUCGAUAGUUGUGUCAUAGGAGAGAGGAAUAUUAUCACAACAGUAAGAAAAAUGAUAGCAUUAUCUAUCAUAUAUAGCAAUUGUAGGUCGUGUAGUAUACAAGAGCAUGCAUUGUUUAUAACAUCUCAAUAGCU